This 36-nucleotide ribosomal RNA is filed under the name Fuscoporia gilva. Its description in RNAcentral is "partial 28S ribosomal RNA". Lineage: Eukaryota; Fungi; Basidiomycota; Agaricomycetes; Hymenochaetales; Hymenochaetaceae. RNAcentral also lists the same sequence under 2 other names. The record is from RNAcentral.
CUGACCUCAAAUCAGGUAGGAUUACCCGCUGAACUU